This 492-nucleotide ribosomal RNA is filed under the name uncultured bacterium. RNAcentral describes it as "partial 16S ribosomal RNA". It matches the Rfam family "Bacterial small subunit ribosomal RNA", at positions 28 to 507 of the family's 1533-position model. The record is from RNAcentral.
GAUGAACGCUCGCUACAGGCUUAACACAUGCAAGUCGAGGGGAAACGACAUCGAAAGCUUGCUUUUGAUGGGCGUCGACCGGCGCACGGGUGAGUAACGCGUAUCCAACCUGCCCAUCACUUGGGAAUAACCUUGCGAAAGUAAGACUAAUACCCAAUGACAUCCCACGAAGACAUCUGAAUGGGAUUAAAGAUUUAUCGGUGAUGGAUGGGGAUGCGUCUGAUUAGCUUGUUGGCGGGGUAACGGCCCACCAAGGCAACGAUCAGUAGGGGUUCUGAGAGGAAGGUCCCCCACAUUGGAACUGAGGCACGGUCCAAACUCCUACGGGAGGCAGCAGUGAGGAAUAGUGGUCAAUGGGCGAGAGCCUGAACCAGCCAAGUAGCGUGCAGGAGGACGGCCCUAUGGGUUGUAAACUGCUUUUAUAAGGGAAUAAAGUGGGUCUCGUGAGACUUUUUGCAUGUACCUUAUGAAUAAGGACCGGCUAAUUCCGUG